AGGUACAGAGAUUAAAAAGGGCCAGGGAGCCCACAGCCCAAAAGGGGCAGAGAUUUUAGAGGGUUAGCCUACAGAGAGUAGAGAGAGGGCCAGGGAUCCACAGUCCUAGAGGGGUGGGACUGGAGCCCUACAGCCACAAUGGCAUGAUGGCAUAAAAGAAGAGCUACCCUGGCUUGUAGGGUAAGGAAGCUGCUGGAUUUAUUUUCAUUUGUUCCAUGUAUUGAACACCUCAAGAGCCCUGGAUCAGUGCUUUUUUAUAUACCACGUGUUGAAACGAAUAAGAUUACAUAACGAAUGUGUUGUAUGAGAAACCCACUAGUCCUUCCUCAGGCAAAAUUCCUAUUAGACCCAAGAAGGUGUUGCAGGAGUUGUUUUUUCAAGGGAAUGUAGCAGUGCCUGGAGGCAGGCAGAAUGGCCCCAGGAAGUCCAGGUGAGCAGAGGCAGCGGGUGUUGCCGUACCUUUUACAAGAGCUUCAUCCUUAUGGAAAAUGAUGGCUACCCUUGCACAUGCUCCCUCCUCUGCCUUGUAAA
This is a long non-coding RNA of Gavialis gangeticus (Gharial), 531 nucleotides long. RefSeq lists it as uncharacterized. NCBI's taxonomy places the organism in Eukaryota, Metazoa, Chordata, Crocodylia, Gavialidae. The transcript is spliced from 3 exons. The record is from RefSeq and is a predicted model, not a curated record.